RNAcentral lists this transfer RNA (73 nucleotides) under Chlorobiota bacterium. RNAcentral's name for it is "Chlorobi bacterium tRNA-Lys". It matches the Rfam family "tRNA". Rfam says of the family: Transfer RNA (tRNA) molecules are approximately 80 nucleotides in length. Their secondary structure includes four short double-helical elements and three loops (D, anti-codon, and T loops). Lineage: Bacteria; Pseudomonadati; Chlorobiota. RNAcentral also lists the same sequence under 1 other name. The record is from RNAcentral.
GCUUCCUUGGCUCAGUUGGUAGAGCAACUGACUCUUAAUCAGUGGGUCGCGGGUUCGAGUCCCGCAGGGAGCA